RNAcentral lists this transfer RNA (71 nucleotides) under Nemipterus furcosus (fork-tail threadfin bream). RNAcentral's name for it is "tRNA-Thr". It matches the Rfam family "tRNA". Rfam says of the family: Transfer RNA (tRNA) molecules are approximately 80 nucleotides in length. Their secondary structure includes four short double-helical elements and three loops (D, anti-codon, and T loops). The record is from RNAcentral. Lineage: Eukaryota; Metazoa; Chordata; Actinopteri; Spariformes; Nemipteridae.
GCAUUAGUAGCUCAGCGUAGAGCGCCGGUCUUGUAAACCGGAUGCCAGGGGUUAAAUCCCCCUCUAAUGCU